RNAcentral lists this long non-coding RNA (5829 nucleotides) under Panax ginseng (ginseng). RNAcentral describes it as "long non-coding RNA (PGIN_LNC012533)". Lineage: Eukaryota; Viridiplantae; Streptophyta; Magnoliopsida; Apiales; Araliaceae. The record is from RNAcentral.
AAACAUUGUAUUAUGAAAAAAUUUCAGUUCCAUAAAAUAUUAAUUAUUUUUUUUAGUUGUUUUAAAAAAAUAAAGCAAAAAAACAAAAAAAAAAUUUGGUCAGUCUUUUACUCCAGUCUAGGCGUCCGGACUGGAUCCGCUGCGUAUAUAUAUAUAUAUAUAUAUAUAUUAGGGGAUAACAUGGUUAUGGCAAAUGCAUUUGAUUAAUUACAACAUUGUCAUUUAACAAUUUUAUUAAUGGUAAAGACUGGUAAUUUAGUUAUUUCACCAUUUUAUUUAUCAACGCUAAGUUGUUUUGGGAUCCCCAUGUGUCUGUAUAUUUACACUCCGUAUGUUCAUAUAGUGUACGUAAACCAUUAGUUAACAUUUCAUGGCAUGAUAAACCCACGUUCCUAAACUAGAGAUUCAUUUUCAUUUUUUUUACAGUUGAUGAGAGCAUAAUACUCAUUUAUUUUGAUUCCAUUAUAAUUAGUUUUAUUGCAUGUUUCAUGCGUAUAUAAGUUUAUUAAGGUGUUUAAUGAUUUCAGGAUGAAUUGGAGCUGAAAUGAGGAAAAAGAGAAAAUUGCAGGGUUUUUAGCAUUAAGUUGGAUGCAUGGUCUAGGCUUGGGACUUGAAUUUUAUUGUAGAGCUCUUCUUUAGCUUUCCGGAACAUUUUGAACCGUCCCAAUCGGAGUUCAUAUGAAAAAGUUAUGAUCUUUUUACUAAACGGACGUUGAACCUCAAUGUUUGGAAUGUGCAAUUUACACGGCAGUCACUUGGAGUCUGAUUUCGACCUUGAUACAACCAGAAUAUGUCAAUUCUCAAAGCAUGAAAGUUGUAGAUCUCGUCGAUAUCUUCGUUUUGAUAGGUAGCAGGCCCCGUAACUCCUCCAGGAUCAAAAGUUAUGAUUAUUUUACCAAAGGACAUCGCAACAGGAAAUGGAAAUUCGCCCCAGCGAAUUUGAGCGGGAAAAUUGGGAAAUCUUGGAUGUUUGGAAAGUUUCUAAAUGCAGAUUUUGGCAGACUUCUACAUGGAAUUGGAUUGAUAUUUCUAUUAGAAUUAGGAUAUCUUUAGACUAAGAUUUAUUUCCAAAAUGGAUUCUAUUUCUUUAUGGAAACUAGUUAUGAUUUGUAAUUCCUUUUAGGAUUUGGAUUUCUACUUCCUAUAGGAUUUAGGACUUUGUCUAGCACUAUAAAUAGAGGAUGCUAGUCAGGGUUUUAUUCAUUCAAUCAUCUACUACAUUCUCUCAUCUACAACAUUGGAGGAUUGAAGACAUGAGCUAAGUUCUUUUUAUUCAGUUCUAAGGGAUGUUGAACCUUAUUUAUAAUUAAUGGUUAAUUGAGUAUUCAUUAUUUAUUCCUUCUCACAUGAAAUUCAUUCUUGAUAAUCUGAUUUAAUUUCUGAAUGCUAUUUGGCUUAACUGAUUUGAUUUCUGCAGGAUUGAGUUGGUUAACAAAUAUCAUAUGCUAGAUCAAGGAAUAAUAUUACGUGUAAUUGAUAUUGUUUCUAAUCACAAGUAGUAAUUAGUAAUACCUGAUUGUGGACAAGCUUUUGAGUAUUGCUAUGAUUAUCAGAAGACAAGUUAAACAAUCCGAGCUUAUGUGUUUGUUGCUUGGAAUAGUCUAAUUCCCUAGUUCUUAAUGCUGCUAUUAUAUUAAAUCUAGAGAGCUUAUUCUAGGUUAUAUAAUUGUUAGAAUCUUGUGAAGAGCUUGUUUCAUUGAGUGACAAUCUAAGGGGAGUUUCGGGUAGCAGAGCUUGUUGUUACCUAGGGCUAUUAGUUUCAUUGAAGGGUAAAUAAUGUUACACUUGAUUAAUCUAUUAUUGUAAAAAGGUGAUACUGAACUGAAGAACUGAAGCUUUUUAUUCAUUGUUUAUUCUUAUUAGUUUAUUCUUGUUAAUUUAAUUAAUUAAUUCAAAAUCCCCUUUUCAUUAGAAAUCAUAGGAUAAAUAUAAAACAAAUCACUCUCUGUGGGAUCGAUCCUUGCUUACUACUGUGCUAAUUGUUUAAAUUUGUAAAGUGAAAGUGAGGUUAAUUUAGGAGUGUAAACGACAGCUCCCAAAUUUUGGCGCCGUUGUCGGGGAGUGAUAUUUGUUUUGUUUAUUCUUUGUUUUCAUUUAUUUUUAUUAUUUUCUUUUUGUUUUUGUUUUAUGACUCAAUUCUCUAACUUUAUUGACUUAAAUUUUGAUCAAGAGAUAGAGAAAACUGCAAAUAAAAAAGCUCUUGUUCCAUCAUUUGAAGUGGAAGAGAUGGCGGUGCCACAAAAUAACAGAACUUUGAAAAAACUGGCUAUUCUUGAUCUGACUCAACCAUCUUUUAGUAUUGAGUAUCCUACUUUAGAUGUUGCUUAUGAACUUAACUCUAAACUAAUUCAUCUUUUGCCUACUUUUCGUGGUCUUACAGGUGAAAAUCCAUAUAAGCAUCUAGAGGAGUUCCAUGUAGUGUGUUCCACGAUGAAAGCACAAGGAGUGGCAGAGGAACAGAUCAAGCUUAGACUUUUUCCAUUCUCGUUAGCAGAUUUGGCUAAAGACUGGUUAUACUAUCUACCUUCAGGAUUAAUACGAUCAUGGACUGAUAUGCAAAGGUUAUUCUUGGAGAGGUAUUUUCCUGCAUCAAGAGUUACCGAUAUAAGAAAGAAGAUAUGUGGAAUCAGGCAGUUCAAUGGAGAGAAUCUCUAUGAGUAUUGGGAAAGGUUCAAGAAAUUGUGUUCCAGCUGUCCACCUCAUGGAAUUGAUGAACAUUACUUGAUCUAGUACUUCUAUGAGGGGUUGCUACCAAUGGAAAGAAGCAUGAUUGAUGCAGCAAGUGGAGGAGCACUGGUAGACAAGACUCCAGAAGCGGCAAAGAACUUAAUUGCAAACAUGGCAGCUAACUCACAGCAGUAUGGAACUAAGAUGGAUCACACACCACAAAGGGUAAAUGGGGUAAGCACGAGAGACUUAGAGCAACAGAUUUCUGAAUUAACGGCUAUAGUUCGACAAAUGGCUACAAGGAAUAUGCAAGGUUUUCAGCAAGCUCAACCUCAGUACCACACAGAAAACCAAGAAGUACCUAUCAAUUCUAAGACAUCUAUAGAGGAUAUGUUCAAGGCAUUCAUGAUCCAAACACAACAGUUCAUGAGUCAGACAAGAACUUCUAUUCAAGAUUUGAGGGACCAAGUUGGUUAGCUUGCAACAACAGUAGGAAGGUCACUUUCUCAAACUGUUGAAAAUGUAAGUGUCAUAACAUUGAGAUGUGGUGCAGAGGAUCAGCAGCAAGGAAAGUUAAUACAAAGCAAGUCCGAUAAUAGUGAAACAAGAAGCAGUGAUGUACUCAAACAUAAAUUUCCACCUCUUUCAGCUUAUAAACCGAAACUACCUUUUCCCCAAGUUUUAACAAGGAAUUGGAAAGUUGGAAAGAAUUCAACGUGGUAUAGAGAGUCUAAUGAAAAAUUCCUAGAAGAAAUGGCGAAUAGGGAACAAGAACUUAAAGAUGAUGAGAAGUUCACUAGUGGAAACCAUUUGGAAGUGCUCGAGACUACUGCUGAAUUUGAAGAAGAAAUCAGGUAUUCAAAGUCUGAAAAGGAUGAACAAGAGGUAGAGAUGGAAGAAUUAAUAAUUCCUGCAGAUUUCUAUAAGGAUGACAUAGAUGAUUAUACUUUCCUUGUACCAGCAACAACACAGAAUGAUAAACACCAUGGGUCCUUACACAUGGAAUUGGACGACGCACAUGUCCAGUUCAGCAUAUAUGAAGUUAAAAGGUAUUUUGGUAAUAUUAAUUCUAUUUUUUCUACUGAUGUUGUUGACUCUAUAGUGCAUGAAUCUUUUGAUCAAAUACAAUUAUACAAGGAGGAUUUGAGGGCUAGAAUGGAGCAAAAUCAGGAUCUGAAGGAUGCUCCUAAUGAAGAAUUGAAGAUGUUACCAGCAGUCCACUUGAAGUUCACAAGUCCAAUUACAUAGAAUGAGAAGGAUGAUGUCAAGCCAAUGACAAUAAACAAGGGCAGCUGCUUGGGAGGCAACCCAAGAUCUCAGAUUUGAUUUUUCUAUCCCUUCACUUUUUAGUUUUUUUAUUGCAUGUUAGCUAGUAAUAUUUUCUUCUUUGCAUGAUUUUCUUACAUUGGGGACAAUGUAAGGUUUGAGUGUGGGGGGAAGAUUUAGGUUUUUAUUUUAUUUAGGAAUAUUGAUCCGAUUUUGAUGGGAAAUUUAAAAAAUUAAUGCUUUUGAAACUUUUUGAAAAUUUUGGUUCCAUGGUUCUAUUUGCCUAUGUGUUCGAAGGUUAAAGUCAAAGAUUGAAAAUUGAUGCUAAAAUUCAGAAUCUGUUUGAUGCUUAAUUUGUUAAUGAAUGAUGACAACUAAGCUAUGAUUCAUAGUAAAUGAAUUGAAUUGAAUUUGUGAUACAUGAGUACUUGAAUAUGAGAAGUAUGUUUAUUUGGCUAAGUUAUUUGUGGAGUCUAUGUACACUAAUUUCACGACUUAGAACUGUUUAACUUGCUUAUGUUGUUGCAGAACCAUGUGAAAUAAUGAUGAAUGAAAAAAAAAAGAAAAAAAAAGAGAAAAAAAAAAGAAAAUUGAAAAUCUGCUUCAAUGUCCAUUGUGCGAAAUAACUGGGUAUCCAAGCCUCGGGAAGCAUCGGUAUUCACACUGAAAAGUGCGAUGGAUAAAAGCAGCUUGACUAGUCGACUUUUGUGGCCUUUGUUACUUGAAUAAGUAAGCCUUAGGGGUGUCUCUACACCUAGCGCCCUACGAUCAUCUGGUUUGGGAGUCGUUGGUGGAAAGUUCGCUAAUGGGUAACUCUGAAAAGCCUAAGAAAAGGAGACAUUGCACAUGUCAAGAAAAGAAAAAAAUAUAUAUGAAAAAAAAGAAGCAUGAAAAUACAUUCAUUUGUGCUAAAAAGAAGGUUCUAUGAAAAAACUUAAAAAGCAACUAAGUUAAUUAAGUAUGAUGAUUUUGGCAAAGUUACUUAUGUGGUUAUAGUUUGAUUUAAUGAAAUUCAUUGGUGAAAUGGCAAGGUUGGUAAUUGUGAGUUGAUUGAUAAGGCGUUGAUUAGAUUUUUGCAAAUUUAGUGUUGAUAAUCAUGAUUUGUACCUUGAAAUCUUUUGACAUGAUGGUUGAAUAGAAUUUUUCUGAAAAUCAAACUUUUGAUUUACACGAAGACGUGUAAAGGCUAAGUGUGGGGGAAUUUGAUGAGUGCAUAAUACUCAUUUAUUUUGAUUCCAUUAUAUUUAGUUUUAUUGCAUGUUUCAUGUGUAUAUAAGUUUAUUAAGGUGUUUAAUGAUUUCAGGAUGAAUUGGAGCUGAAAUGAGAAAAAAGAGAAAAUUGCAGGGUUUUUAGCAUUAAGUUGGAUGCAUGGUCUAGGCUUGGGACUUGAAUUUUAUUGUAGAGCUCUUCUUUAGCUUUCCGGAACAUUUUGAACCGUCCCAAUCGGAGUUCAUAUGAAAAAGUUAUGAUCUUUUUACUAAACGGACGUUGAACCUCAAUGUUUGGAAUGUGCAAUUUACACUGCAGUCACUUGGAGUCUGAUUUCGACCUUGAUACAACCAGAAUCUGUCAAUUCUCAAAGCAUGAAAGUUGUAGAUCUCGUCGAUAUCUUCGUUUUGAUAGGUAGCAGGCCCCGUAACUCCUCCAGGAUCAAAAGUUAUGAUUAUUUUACCAAAGGAUAUCGCAGCAGGAAAUGGAAAUUCGCCCUAGCGAAUUUGAGCGGGAAAAUUGGGAAAUCUUGGAUGUUUGGAAAGUUUCUAAAUGCAGAUUUUGACAGACUUCUACAUGGAAUUGGAUUGAUAUUUCUAUUAGAAUUAGGAUAUCUUUAGACUAAGAUUUAUUUCCAAAUUAGAUUCUAUUUCUUUAUGGAAACUAGUUAUGAUUUGUAAUUCCUUU